RNAcentral lists this unclassified non-coding RNA (327 nucleotides) under soil metagenome. RNAcentral describes it as "partial contains 5.8S ribosomal RNA, internal transcribed spacer 2, and large subunit ribosomal RNA". The stretch from base 1 to 120 matches the Rfam family "5.8S ribosomal RNA", at positions 35 to 154 of the family's 154-position model. The record is from RNAcentral.
GAUGAAGAACGUAGCGAAAUGCGAUAAGUAGUGUGAAUUGCAGAUUUCAGUGAAUCAUCGAAUCUUUGAACGCACAUUGCGCCCUUUGGUAUUCCUUAGGGCAUGCCUGUUCGAGCGUCAUUUAAACCUUCAAGCCUGGCUUGGUGUUGGGGCUCUGCGUCUGCAGUCCCUUAAAUCCAGUGGCGGACACGCUAGGUCUCCGAGCGCAGUAGUUUCUCCUCGCUCAGGGCGUCCGGCGUGGGCUUGCCUCGCACCCAUCUUUUACAAGGUUGACCUCGGAUCAGGUAGGAAUACCCGCUGAACUUAAGCAUAUCAAUAAGCGGAGGA